ACCUGGGGUGGCAACGAGAGGGUUAACCACCCGGGAAGGUCCCGUUUGCGCCCGGGCCGGGCAAAAACCUGGGGGAGGUGCUGGAGGUGAAAACCGCCUGCGUUCUGCGCCCCGCGUGCGGUGGAACCAGCGACCUCCGGGCUGGGGGAGCUAAGCGAUGUUCGGGAGCCGCCGGUGGCGCAGACACUGGGUGAAUCCCGAAGGGGAGCGCAUCUUGCAGAAGAGAGACGCCCCAGCAAGACUCUUUCGGGGAAUCCUCCAGCUCCUCGCCUCCAUGGGCCAGACGGCCCUGGCAGGGGGCGGCAGUAGCACCCCCACCCCACAGGCCCUGUACCCUGACCACUCCCGUCCCGAAGGUUUGGAGGAACUGCUUUCUGCUCCCUUUCCUGACCUGGAGACUCAACAGCGCCACGGCUGGAAUCCCAGGGACUGCUCAGAGAACAUCGAAGUCAAGGAAAGGGGAUUGUGCUUUGAACGGCGGCCCGUAGCCCAGAGCACUGAUGGGGCCCGGGGUAAGAGGGGCUACUCCAGGGGCCUGCACGCCUGGGAAAUCAGCUGGCCCCCGGAGCAGCGGGGCACCCACGCCGUGGUGGGUGUGGCCACGGCCCUCGCCCCACUGCAGGCAGACCACUACGCGGCGCUGCUGGGCAGCAACAGCGAGUCUUGGGGCUGGGACAUUGGGCGUGGGAAGCUAUACCAUCAGAGCAAGGGGAUAGGGGCCCCCCGAUAUCCAGCCGGACCUCAGGGUGAGCAGCUGGAGGUGCCGGAGAGGCUGCUGGUGGUUCUGGACAUGGAGGAGGGAACUCUGGGCUACGCUCUUGGGGACACCUACCUGGGGCCCGCGUUCCGCGGACUGAAGGGCAGGACCCUCUAUCCGGCAGUAAGCGCUGUCUGGGGCCAGUGCCAGGUCCGCAUCAGCUACCUGGGCGAAAGGAGAGGUGAGGCCUGGGUAGAUGUGGGAGAGUGUUCUUUCACUGGUGGCUGUAUUUUGGCUUGGAAACCCAACACUUUACAAGAGUGGAGGGAACAAGCCUUCACCUGACCUGCCUCCCUAACCCCUCAUUCAGUGCCAGGAAUGGCUAAGGGUCUUCACAGCUGUUACCUAAUUUAAUCCUCCCAGUAGCGGUAGAGGUAAAGGUGACGCUUGGGAACUUGCGGUAAGUGGUGAGCCCCCAGGUUGGAGGGAAGCACUCCAGGGAUUAGGGCCUUACAGGAGCCAUCAGCUCCUGGAGCAGAGGUGCGCAGGGCUGAAAGGCUCCUGGGCUAGGCGUGCGAGUUUGAAAAGCAGCGCUAGGCACCCAGGGUGUGACACAUACAUACCUACUUCUUCAGUCAAACCCCAGGAGGGAGCCGUCGGGGACUGCCCCCCACCCCCACCCCUCCACUGGAAGGAGAGCUGUAGAGGCAGGGUUUGACUGAAGGAGCUGCGAUCAAACCCUGGGGGGCUGCAGGGGAGGGACCUCCUUGGGGAACCAGUGGGGCCAGGGCUUGGAAUCUAUUGAACUGUUCUCUACAGUUGUAGUCUUAGCAGAGGCUGGAUACCUCUCCUCCUGUCACCCAUGGUGAGCUGUCGUGGAGUGCCAGCCUCCUUUCACAUCAGCCCCAUUCCCAAGGCCUUUCUGGAAUCCAAGCCUGGGCCAGCUCCACCCGUCAUAGCCACCUUGCCCUGUUGCUUACAGGCCUUAGCUAGAGCUUCACCGUCACCACUGACUGGAAGUGUGUGACACCUCCCACCCUAAGAGCAGAGACAGAGCUUCAGGGUGGCUAAGAUGUCUCUCAACCAAGUGGAGCCGCACUCCCUCCUACACCUGAGCCGCCUGUCCGUGCACCGAGCACUGGGGGCUGCCCGUCUGGGCCAUGUAUCGGCUC
Artibeus jamaicensis (Jamaican fruit-eating bat) is the source of this 1869-nucleotide RNA transcript. It is a transcript of the gene named splA/ryanodine receptor domain and SOCS box containing 2, with no coding region annotated. NCBI's taxonomy places the organism in Eukaryota, Metazoa, Chordata, Mammalia, Chiroptera, Phyllostomidae. The record is from RefSeq and is a predicted model, not a curated record. The transcript has 3 exons.